RNAcentral lists this transfer RNA (60 nucleotides) under Callithrix jacchus (white-tufted-ear marmoset). It matches the Rfam family "tRNA", at positions 7 to 64 of the family's 71-position model. Rfam says of the family: Transfer RNA (tRNA) molecules are approximately 80 nucleotides in length. Their secondary structure includes four short double-helical elements and three loops (D, anti-codon, and T loops). Further hydrogen bonds mediate the characteristic L-shaped molecular structure. tRNAs have two regions of fundamental functional importance: the anti-codon, which is responsible for specific mRNA codon recognition, and the 3' end, to which the tRNAs corresponding amino acid is attached (by aminoacyl-tRNA synthetases). tRNAs cope with the degeneracy of the genetic code in two manners: having more than one tRNA (with a specific anti-codon) for a particular amino acid; and 'wobble' base-pairing, i.e. permitting non-standard base-pairing at the 3rd anti-codon position. Lineage: Eukaryota; Metazoa; Chordata; Mammalia; Primates; Cebidae. The record is from Rfam by way of RNAcentral.
AUAGUGUAGCGGUUAUCAUGUCUGCUUUACAUGCAGAAGGUCCUGGGUUUGAGCCCCAGU